UCUCUAUUGUUUCUUGAGUUGUUCUUGACUCAUUACUAAGUUGUUCUUGACUUGUUCAUGCCUUCGGGUACGUGAUCCAGGAUGCAUAUAAGGAGGUUUUAAGGCUCGAUAUACAUUUUGACCCCUUCCCUAAGAGCUUAAGCUUUUAGGGUCUAGGGGUCAGUUGCUGGUACCAAUUUUAUAUCAUUAUAAUAUCUCUAAAUACAAUUUUAUUACUCAUGUUCUGUAGAAUAUUGGGAUCAAGCAUAUGAAAAAUUUCAGGCCAAAUCUUGCUUUGAAGCGAGAUGAUGCACAGGUAGGUUUUCCAGAAAAGGUGCAUAAGUUCCAAUCUUACAAGGCAAAUAUUGGAAGAAAAAUAUUUAUUGAGAACAAUGGAAAAAGGGGAGGAGGUAUAACUAAACUUUAAGCUUGAUAAUGGAUGAGCUUAUGCCAACAACUAUUAGCACGGUUGGUUGGCACCUCUCCCCUAAGCACUAGUCCUUGGAGGAGGUCCAGGGUUCAAAGAAUUUCAAUUUUGUUAAAGGAGGUUCUUGCUAUCUAGAUUAUUUGGUACUCGGAGGAAUGUUACAUGUAGCAAAGGAUUUUUCUCUUGACAUGAUGAUAAGCAAGGUACGCUAUCUAGAUAUCGGGCCCCAUACUGGUGCCAUAGUAUCAUUGUAUCGGUAUGGUACGAUAUGGGGCUGGUUUGGCAUACCGAGUGUCAGUACGCCUCCCAUGCCGUGUACCGGACUGAAUCGAUAUGGUACGUAUGCCCCGUACCACACGGUUCGGUACAGUACGGCGAACCUUGAUGAUAAGAGUUAAGUAGGAUAUCUCAUAAGACAUGUUUAAAUGGUCUUAAAGAAGUUUUCAAUAAAUAGAACAAGUUUGGAUUUGAAGCUGCUAAAGUGGACUUAAGAAAGAAGGAAAAGCUGCUAGGUGUAGCAUUGGAGGCUCUUAUCUAGUUUGGAAUAUUAAUUUCUCAAAAGUGGUUCCUUCAUCAACCUAUCAACUCUCUUUAAAACUUCUGCAUGAUUGAAGAUCAAGGAGAAUUUUCUUAAUGGAAGAAGAUAGAGAAAGGUUAAGCAACUUGAAAUUGGGACUUUUUCGUACUAAGUAUAACAUGCCUCUAAUGAGUAGAAAGCUAUGUUAUUUAAUCAAUGAUUCAUUUGUGACUAAAGAAUUUUGUUUUUUUAUUUCUUUUUCUGAUAUCUAGAAGAGGAGGGCGCCCAGCUAAAGUUGAGGCAUAGGUAGGAUUUGAAACCUGGGUCACUAGUAUCAACAUCUUAUAACUUUAUCCAAGGCCAAUUGUCUCAAGCCGAACUGCUUGGUUCAAGGCAUACCAACCUGCUCCAGGCAGAAAUCAGAUCAAGAUGCAGGUUCGGUUCAGAACAAGCUACGAACCAACUUGAACUAAGCAGAACCAGCAGAUUCUACUCGAUUCAGGACAAUUCGCUGCCUUUAUAACACUCUUGGACCGGAUAGUGAGUUGCCUUGCCUCCCGAUCACCACUUGCUACCCCUCGUGUUCAGCUAAGGUUAGGAUUUUGAUGCUGCCCCCACAGCGCUGCCACCUCUAAUGUCUACAGGUACUCGCUUCGUCCUCUCUCUCUCUCU
This 1595-nucleotide long non-coding RNA is filed under the name Phoenix dactylifera (date palm). RNAcentral's name for it is "long non-coding RNA (PDAC_LNC004084)". Lineage: Eukaryota; Viridiplantae; Streptophyta; Magnoliopsida; Arecales; Arecaceae. The record is from RNAcentral.